UUGGGCGUAGAGGGCUCGCAGGCGGUUUCUUAAGUCUGAUGUGAAAGCCCCCGGCUCAACCGGGGAGGGUCAUUGGAAACUGGGAAACUUGAGUGCAGAAGAGGAGAGUGGAAUUCCACGUGUAGCGGUGAAAUGCGUAGAGAUGUGGAGGAACACCAGUGGCGAAGGCGACUCUCUGGUCUGUAACUGACGCUGAGGAGCGAAAGCGUGGGGAGCGAACAGGAUUAGAUACCCUGGUAGUCCACGCCGUAAACGAUGAGUGCUAAGUGUUAGGGGGUUUCCGCCCCUUAGUGCUGCAGCUAACGCAUUAAGCACUCCGCCUGGGGAGUACGGUCGCAAGACUGAAACUCAAAGGAAUUGACGGGGGCCCGCACAAGCGGUGGAGCAUGUGGUUUAAUUCGAAGCAACGCGAAGAACCUUACCAGGUCUUGACAUCCUCUGACAACCCUAGAGAUAGGGCUUUCCCUUCGGGGACAGAGUGACAGGUGGUGCAUGGUUGUCGUCAGCUCGUGUCGUGAGAUGUUGGGUUAAGUCCCGCAACGAGCGCAACCCUUGAUCUUAGUUGCCAGCAUUCAGUUGGGCACUCUAAGGUGACUGCCGGUGACAAACCGGAGGAAGGUGGGGAUGACGUCAAAUCAUCAUGCCCCUUAUGACCUGGGCUACACACGUGCUACAAUGGACAGAACAAAGGGCUGCAAGACCGCAAGGUUUAGCCAAUCCCAUAAAUCUGUUCUCAGUUCGGAUCGCAGUCUGCAACUCGACUGCGUGAAACUGGAAUCG
RNAcentral lists this ribosomal RNA (780 nucleotides) under Bacillus pumilus. Its description in RNAcentral is "bacterial SSU rRNA". It matches the Rfam family "Bacterial small subunit ribosomal RNA", at positions 554 to 1334 of the family's 1533-position model. The record is from RNAcentral. Lineage: Bacteria; Bacillati; Bacillota; Bacilli; Caryophanales; Bacillaceae.